AUGCAAGUCAACUUGAUUUAUGGUUUCGGCCGUAAUGAUGGUGGCGGACGGGUGAGUAACGCGUAAAGAAUCUGCCCUUUAGUCUGGGAUAACAUCGGGAAACUGGUGCUAAUACCGGAUAUUAUGGAAUCUCCGCAUGGAGGUACUAUGAAAGCUAUAUGCGCUAGAGGAGGACUUUGCGUCCCAUUAGCUAGUUGGUGAGGUAACGGCUCACCAAGGCGACGAUGGGUAGCCGGCCUGAGAGGGUGAUCGGCCACAAGGGAACUGAGACACGGUCCUUACUCCUACGGGAGGCAGCAGUGGGGAAUAUUGGACAAUGGGCCACAAGCCUGAUCCAGCAAUUCUGUGUGCACGAUGAAGGUCUUCGGAUUGUAAAGUGCUUUCAGUAGGGUAGAAUAAAUGACGGUACCUACAGAAGAAGCGACGGCUAAAUAUGUGCCAGCAGCCGCGGUAAUACAUAUGUCGCAAGCGUUAUCCGGAUUUAUUGGGCGUAAAGCGCGUCUAGGCGGUUUACUAAGUCUGAUGUGAAAAUGCGGGGCUCAACUCCGUAUUGCGUUGGAAACUGGUAGACUAGAGUACUGGAGAGGUGGGCGGAACUACAAGUGUAGAGGUGGAAUUCGUAGAUAUUUGUAGGAAUGCCGAUGGAGAAGUCAGCUCACUGGACAGAUACUGACGCUAAAGCGCGAAAGCGUGG
Molecule: ribosomal RNA, 694 nt
Filed under: uncultured bacterium
Lineage: Bacteria
Description: bacterial SSU rRNA
Rfam family: Bacterial small subunit ribosomal RNA
Source: RNAcentral